Molecule: non-coding RNA, 106 nt
Filed under: Ignavibacteria bacterium
Lineage: Bacteria; Pseudomonadati; Ignavibacteriota; Ignavibacteria
Description: TPP sequence
Rfam family: TPP riboswitch aptamer (THI element)
About the family: Vitamin B(1) in its active form thiamin pyrophosphate (TPP) is an essential coenzyme that is synthesised by coupling of pyrimidine and thiazole moieties in bacteria. The previously detected thiamin-regulatory element, thi box was extended, resulting in a new, highly conserved RNA secondary structure, the THI element, which is widely distributed in eubacteria and also occurs in some archaea.
Source: RNAcentral
UGAAGAUGACAGGGGUGCCCGCCUGGCGGCACGCGGACGGGCUGAGAUCACACCCUUCGGACCUGAUCCGGAUAAUGCCGGCGAGGGAAGUCAUGACCCAACUACA